Molecule: transfer RNA, 77 nt
Filed under: Halobacteriovorax sp.
Lineage: Bacteria; Pseudomonadati; Bdellovibrionota; Bacteriovoracia; Bacteriovoracales; Halobacteriovoraceae
Also listed under: 2 other names
Description: tRNA-Met
Rfam family: tRNA
About the family: Transfer RNA (tRNA) molecules are approximately 80 nucleotides in length. Their secondary structure includes four short double-helical elements and three loops (D, anti-codon, and T loops). Further hydrogen bonds mediate the characteristic L-shaped molecular structure. tRNAs have two regions of fundamental functional importance: the anti-codon, which is responsible for specific mRNA codon recognition, and the 3' end, to which the tRNAs corresponding amino acid is attached (by aminoacyl-tRNA synthetases). tRNAs cope with the degeneracy of the genetic code in two manners: having more than one tRNA (with a specific anti-codon) for a particular amino acid; and 'wobble' base-pairing, i.e. permitting non-standard base-pairing at the 3rd anti-codon position.
Source: RNAcentral
CGCGGGAUGGAGCAGUCUGGUAGCUCGUCGGGCUCAUAACCCGAAGGUCGUAGGUUCAAAUCCUACUCCCGCAACCA